Molecule: ribosomal RNA, 254 nt
Filed under: uncultured bacterium
Lineage: Bacteria
Description: partial 16S ribosomal RNA
Rfam family: Bacterial small subunit ribosomal RNA
Source: RNAcentral
UACGUAGGGUGCGAGCGUUAAUCGGAAUUAUUGGGCGUAAAGAGCUCGUAGGCGGUGUGUCACGUCGGCCGUGAAAACCUGCAGCUUAACUGUGGGCGUGCGGUCGAUACGGGCAUCACUGGAGUUCGGCAGGGGAGACUGGAAUUCCUGGUGUAGCGGUGAAAUGCGCAGAUAUCAGGAAGAACACCAACGGCAAAGGCAGCUCGCUGGGACGGUACUGACGCUGAGACGCGAAAGCGUGGGGAGCGAACAGG